CACCUGACGCGACUCCGUCGAAGUUGACCUGGAAAGGCACGUCGGAGAGGGUGAUAGCCCCGUGCGUGGCGGAGUCGCCGAGGGCCGCUACCGUCUUCGGAGAGUCGGGUUGUUUGGGAGUGCAGCCCAAAGUGGGUGGUAAACUCCAUCUAAAGCCAAAUAACGGCACGAGACCGAUAGCGAACAAGUACCAUGAGGGAAAGGUGAAAAGCACUUUGGAAAGAGAGUUAAAGAGGCCGCGAAACCGUUGGGAGGGAAACGCAUGCAGCCGAACUGGCCCGCGUCGGGUUCAGGGGGCCGCGAGGAGUCGUGCGUGCCGACGGCACCUUCGUUGGGUCGUCGGUGCGUCCGGGCGUCUCGCGCCCCUGCACUCUCGGCGGCAAGGGCCGGCCAAGUGCGGCGGGUUCCGGGCGAUGAGCACGGACGGGAGGUAGCGCAACUGUGUUCGCACAGAGGCGAACUUAUAGCCGUCCGUGUGGAGCGUCCGAGGCCCGCCGAGGUGAGCGGUGGCAUUUACACCCCAGCAGCGCAGGUCCGCUUCGGCGGCCGGGGCGCUCUCGUUCGUUCGCCGACCGUGCCUGUCACUGCGUGCAGUGUCCGGCCGCGGCUCGCGUGUCCGGGCGGGAGGUCGUCUCACGCCUUGCGCUGCGGUCGCUU
This 657-nucleotide ribosomal RNA is filed under the name Neopelta sp. HBOI 3-IV-89-4-012. RNAcentral's name for it is "partial 28S ribosomal RNA". It matches the Rfam family "Eukaryotic large subunit ribosomal RNA", at positions 165 to 498 of the family's 3401-position model. The record is from RNAcentral. Lineage: Eukaryota; Metazoa; Porifera; Demospongiae; Tetractinellida; Neopeltidae.